RNAcentral lists this ribosomal RNA (253 nucleotides) under uncultured bacterium. Its description in RNAcentral is "partial 16S ribosomal RNA". It matches the Rfam family "Bacterial small subunit ribosomal RNA", at positions 524 to 776 of the family's 1533-position model. The record is from RNAcentral.
GACGAACCACACAAACGUUAUUCGGAAUUACUGGGCUUAAAGGGUGCGUAGGCUGCGCAGAAAGUUGGGUGUGAAAUACCUCGGCUCAACCGAGGAACUGCGCCCAAAACUACUGUGCUUGAGGGAGAUAGAGGUGAGCGGAACUUAGGGUGGAGCGGUGAAAUGCGUUGAUAUCCUAAGGAACACCCGUGGCGAAAGCGGCUCACUGGAUCUCUUCUGACGCUGAGGCACGAAAGCUAGGGUAGCGAACGGG